AAUGUUGACAUGUUUAAUUCUUAAAAUAUUAAAGAGCUGUUUGCACCUAAGAUUACCUUCGACACAACUGGAAUAAGCAUAACUGACAUACAGCCAUGACAAUCAAGAUGCAUGAAGAACAUUAUGGUCUUUCCCAAAGUCAUCCUUGUUCAGAUUGCAGCGGUAGUGUUCCUGGCCAGGUGACAGAGACAUCCACUGAUAUUUUAAUGGAGAUUGAAUCUUCAUAUGUCUUCAAAGGAUGGCAUAUGUCAAAUCAGGACUUGGACUACUAUAUACAUUCAUGAAGCUAAAAACAGGAACAUCUAACAGAAAGAAAAGGAAGAGUUAGAAAGAAUAAGAAUGUCUGAAAUUCAUUUCUGCCUGAUAAACAGAAAUAAGUGGGAAAGAUGAUUAGAAUAUCUUAACAAUUUCUGGGAAAAUAAGAAGCCGGAAUUUCCAUGACUUAGGAAUACAGAUGCUUCCUCGAAGGAUCAAUAUGGUGCAGAGGAGUUUCUUUUCUACCACCUGCUGAUGAUGUCAGCAGGAGUACACAGCAAUGGUUUUUCACCUUUAUUUAUUUUUUUCUUUUGAGAAACAUUUUGAAUAACUAGAAUUUUUGAUGGUCCAUCUGAAGAGAUUAACUUACAUCUAUGAUUAUACAUCACUCACUCAAUAAACCUUCUGUACUAAAAGUUUUUGAGUACCACUGUAUACUUGCCAAAGUACUCUGAAGUUCUCCCUUGUUUCUUGUAAAACCCAAGUGCUUCUUCUUUGGUGGCAGGUUGAAUUUCAAUUAUGUCUCUCAUGUCUUUUGUUAGUUGUACCCCUUCAUACACUUCAAUGUUUCAUAUAUUCAGCUCAAAAUUUUUUUGGGGAAAAGGGCAUUGCUAUGAUAAUUUGUGUCUUUAGAUGUAUAAAAUAUAUAUUUUUACACAUUGUUUAAUAUUUGGAGGCACAUCUCUGAAGGGUUUGAUGUAUAUCACGGAACCUCUGGUAUAGCAUUCUUGGGUGAAUAUGUGUAAGUCUCAGAAAGAAGGCUACAAACGCAUGCACACGUGGUACAGAAUCUCAAAUAUUGCACUGGAUGUGUCCUUCCCUGCCAUUCCUUCCCUUCCUUCCUACCUGCUUUCCUUCAUUUUUGAUUGGAGAGUAAACAAUGACCUCACAUUCUAAAGGACAGACUGACUAUUCUGGAAUUAUGGUUACGUAUAUAGCCACCAGAAACAGUUUAAAUUUAUUCAGUUGAUCAAUAGCAAUUCUUCUCAGAAAACACAUGUCUGAAAGCCAGCAAAUCUGUGAUAGUCCUGUACUUUGGCAAGUCAGCCAAUCAGGAACAGACUCACUUCAAAAUACAUACCUCUGAUGGCAGAUAAUCAACACGUAUCUCAACUGAGCAACCAGCUUCCACAUAGGUUGUCAGCCCACUUAAGCCUUUGGAAUUUUAGCCACUCCUGUGCUUCAUGCUUCCCAAAAACUCUGUAGAAGACCAGCAGUCUGCUCUGCUCAAAGAUUGUACCUGGCCAGUCUAACUUUCUCUUAA
This is a long non-coding RNA of Diceros bicornis minor, 1519 nucleotides long. RefSeq lists it as uncharacterized. The transcript has 3 exons. Lineage: Eukaryota; Metazoa; Chordata; Mammalia; Perissodactyla; Rhinocerotidae. The record is from RefSeq and is a predicted model, not a curated record.